Molecule: ribosomal RNA, 497 nt
Filed under: uncultured bacterium
Lineage: Bacteria
Description: partial 16S ribosomal RNA
Rfam family: Bacterial small subunit ribosomal RNA
Source: RNAcentral
GAUGAACGCUGGCGGCGUGCCUAAUACAUGCAAGUCGAGCGAACAGACGAGGAGCUUGCUCCUCUGACGUUAGCGGCGGACGGGUGAGUAACACGUGGAUAACCUACCUAUAAGACUGGGAUAACUUCGGGAAACCGGAGCUAAUACCGGAUAAUAUAUUGAACCGCAUGGUUCAAUAGUGAAAGACGGUUUUGCUGUCACUUAUAGAUGGAUCCGCGCCGCAUUAGCUAGUUGGUAAGGUAACGGCUUACCAAGGCGACGAUGCGUAGCCGACCUGAGAGGGUGAUCGGCCACACUGGAACUGAGACACGGUCCAGACUCCUACGGGAGGCAGCAGUAGGGAAUCUUCCGCAAAGGGCGAAAGCUUGACGGAGCAACGCCGCGUGAGUGAUGAAGGUCUUCGGAUCGUAAAACUCUGUUAUUAGGGAAGAACAAAUGUGUAAGUAACUAUGCACGUCUUGACGGUACCUAAUCAGAAAGCCACGGCCAACUACGUG